UACGGAGGGUGCAAGCGUUAUCCGGAUUCACUGGGUUUAAAGGGUGCGUAGGCGGGCAGGUAAGUCCGUGGUGAAAUCUCUGAGCUUAACUCAGAAACUGCCAUGGAUACUAUUUGUCUUGAAUGUUGUGGAGGUAAGCGGAAUAUGUCAUGUAGCGGUGAAAUGCUUAGAUAUGACAUAGAACACCAAUUGCGAAGGCAGCUCGCUACACAUAUAUUGACUCUGAGGCACGAAAGCGUGGGGAUCAAACAGG
Molecule: ribosomal RNA, 253 nt
Filed under: uncultured bacterium
Lineage: Bacteria
Description: partial 16S ribosomal RNA
Rfam family: Bacterial small subunit ribosomal RNA
Source: RNAcentral